This 200-nucleotide ribosomal RNA is filed under the name uncultured bacterium. RNAcentral describes it as "partial 16S ribosomal RNA". It matches the Rfam family "Bacterial small subunit ribosomal RNA", at positions 28 to 229 of the family's 1533-position model. The record is from RNAcentral.
GACGAACGCUGGCGGCGUGCUUAACACAUGCAAGUCGAACGAUGAACCGGAGCUUGCUUCGGGGAUUAGUGGCGAACGGGUGAGUAACACGUGAGUAACCUGCCCUGGACUCUGGGAUAACUCCGAGAAAUCGGUGCUAAUACCGGAUAGGACCUGGAACCGCAUGGUUUUGGGUGGAAAGUUUUUCGGUCUGGGAUGGA